This is a non-coding RNA of Coturnix japonica (Japanese quail), 672 nucleotides long. The record is from RefSeq and is a predicted model, not a curated record. Lineage: Eukaryota; Metazoa; Chordata; Aves; Galliformes; Phasianidae.
UAGCUCCGACAGGGUCAAAGGAACACAACCACAAGAGAAGGAAAGAACAAGGAAGCGUUGCGGGAAGACACAAACACAUCACCUCAUGACUGGUCAACUUUUGGCACACAACAGCAGCUCUGCACAAUGCUGCCAUGCGCAGAGGCUCUCUCCAAGCCCUCGGGCACUCACACAGCAGCAUAAAAGCCGGCCCUGCACCUCGCUCCCUCACACCCUUCUCCUGACACCUUCUCCUCUCUGCUCCUACAGGGACCCUCCACCCCACAGCCAUGUCCUGCUACGACCUCUGCCGCCCCUGCGGACCCACCCCGCUGGCUAACAGCUGCAACGAGCCCUGUGUCAGGCAGUGCCAGGACUCCCAAGUCGUCAUCCAGCCUCCCGCCGUGGUGGUCACCCUGCCGGGACCCAUCCUCAGCUCCUUCCCCCAGAACACCGCCGUCGGAUCCUCCUCAUCAGCUGCCGUGGGCAGCGCCCUCAGCGCCCAGGGAGUGUCCAUCUCCUCCGGCGGAUUCGGCUUCGGAGGCCUGGGCUGCUUCAACGGCGGGAGAGCCCGCUACCCCUGCUAAGGGCCUGCGCCCACACCCUGACAGCAACCACCUGCACCCUGCAAGGCAAACCACGCACUCACCACGCUCCUCUGUGUCAGUGAUGGCACAUGGCAUCAGCAGCCAU